This 4561-nucleotide long non-coding RNA is filed under the name Malus domestica (apple). RNAcentral describes it as "long non-coding RNA (MDOM_LNC003153)". Lineage: Eukaryota; Viridiplantae; Streptophyta; Magnoliopsida; Rosales; Rosaceae. The record is from RNAcentral.
CAGUCUCUUGCACAAACCCUAGGCAACAGAAAGCACAGAUAUGCCCACGUCCUGCUCACUCCUAAUACCACGUCUCUGAAAGCUUCGUGAGGGUUCCAGCAUCAUGCUCUGCCUUCUUCAAAAUUAAAGAUUCCUAGCAUCACAUCAAAAUUAAAAAAAAAUGUUCUAUUAAAGAAAGUCAAUUUACACUAAAAAUAAAAUAAAAUAAAAUUGUUUCAUACAAAAACAUAAGUAAACCAUUAAAAAAAAAAAUCAGGCCCGUCUCCAUUUCUUUUCGGCCCACAGUAUGGCCCAGCAGCACAUGCUCUCCCCUAACUCUGCCCUUUGUCCUCCUGACCCGAGCCUAUCAUCGGCAAACCCAAGAAUAUAGGCCCAUCAUCUUCCUUAUUCGACUUCAAGCCUUCAUCUCCGCUGGUUUCUCAUGCUCAUCGUCAACAGCUGUAAGAUCACUUCAAGUCAGGCCCAGAACCACAGCCUCAAUCCCCCAUUCUUCCACUUCAUUCCGUGACCUGCAUCUCAACGUCGACUCUCCCUUCACUCAUUAGAUUACGGAGGUCAUAAAUCAGGGGAAAUUGGUGUCUGAUGAGAUUCAUCGAGCGAUUCUGAAUCACCCACAUGACCUGUGCCCCAUCGAUAGUCGUGACUUUGUUGAAACACGAGGACAAAAACGAGAUGGACGUAGAGCCAUAGCUGCAAGAGAUGAAGCCACAUCAGACAGGACCCAACUGUAGUGCACCUCUCUGCUACAAGGCUUCCAUUAACAAACAGCAACCUCUUCACUGCGUUCCACCUUCUUUCUUCGUCUCUCUUAGACGCACAACAAUGGCGUUGCUCACUUCAGGACCAACUGCUCUUGCACCUCCCGCGGUAGCACUGUCAGCCGCAGUACUUAAUCUUCCUCCACCAUAGUCGUUGUACCUCUCCCAGCUCGCCUUCGAAAAGUCAAAGGGUUGGGUCACUUUUGGUUCUCCCCAGUCAACGCUCUACGUAGUGGUUGCGGUUGUGGACAGAGCUCGAGCCAUGGAAGCCCAAACACUCAGUCCACGCUGGCCAUCUAAGAUCUGUUGCAGGCAGCAAGCAAGUCUCUUUGGUCACGUGCGUUUCCUCUCCAACGUCUCUCUUCACAAAUAGCGACAACAGUAGCAGUUGCACGGAAGUUCACAAUCAUCAUCAUAUGUAGGUUGAACUUGAUUUCGAGAGUUUUGGUUGGCUUUUUAAACCGAUGCUAUUUUCGAACAAUUUCACAGGCGGCCUCUUCACUUCUUUGUCAAAAUGUUCGUCUCUGACCAACAAGACAAUAACUUGCUUCAGAUUAUGUACGCCAUGGAAGCUGCACAGGUACAAGCUCCAGCACACUCCGACCGAGACUGUGUCAGAUGGUCAACUGGGUGAAGGUAGUUGUGUCCCGCAAAUGGCUAAUGCAAUGAAGAAAUUGGAAGCUCUUGAGAGCUUUGUGACCCAGGCUAAUCAUCUCCAACGGCAAAAUUACGUCGUGGUCACUGGUUCUUCAUGCUUGUCAAUCAACCACUCCGCCUCCUCUUCGCCUUUCAUCCUCCAUAGCAAUGCACACAUCCAAAAUGCUUGACUCAUCUCCAUUGCCAAGAAUACAUCUGUAACCAAACCUCUCAACAUACUCAGUUUUCUUCCUCCCUGAAAAUACAAACGCCUGACUUUUCUUCCUUGCCAAGAAUACAUCUGCAACCAAACCUCUCGACAUACUCGGUUUUCUUCCUCCCUGAAAAUACAAACGCCUGACUCUUCUUCCUUGCCAAGAAUACAUCUAUAACUAAACCUCUCAACAUACUCAGUUUUCUUCCUCCUUGGAAACACCUCUUUAACCAAAUCACACCAGAGCAAAGGUAUCUCAUAUCAUGCUUUUCCUUUAUCAUUUCCUGUGCCCUUGCUCUUGCCUACAGAACAAGGAGAAAGGAAGCAAUAAGUCGGAACCUGAAAUUAAACGUCCGAUCGGGAACUGAUUGCCCGAAACCUUUGCCUAGUUGCUUACCUAGCAUUGCUCUUGAGUGCUCAUCUUCAACUGUCGACGGGUCUCGAAUUUCCUCAACGAAUACUUCAGGACAGUUGAUAUGAUGUUGGCUCUUUACACUGAAGCUGCUAAGCAUGGAUGAAUCGCUGAGAAGUGAUGCUCCGAAUAACCAUUGAAAGGCAAAAAGUUGCGCACCACUUCUGCCAGGCGAAAGAAACAAGCAGAAGAGAACGUAGCACGAUGAGCUGGAACAAAUCAUUAUAACAGGACACCCUUCUUGGCAGAACUGUAUAAUCUAGACAAAUGAGUCUAAGUCAAAUCCAAGCCCGCCAUCGUUGCUAUAGUAAAAAAGCUCGAUAAGCUUCAACAACCUUUCGCUGGCACUGUCGCCGAAGAGCAAAGUCUCGAUAACUCUUGAAGAUCAUACCGUUCACCAAACUGCUCCGGGUUCAUAUGAAAAUGCUGUGAACUUUUUUGCUCUUUCAAAGCAAAUUCUUUGCAGCAUCUGACCUUAUUCCCUGACCUUCUUUAAUAUGAAUUGGAAAGAUUGAACAAAUAAACAGACCAUCACCUCCAUCUUGUGCUUACUUGCCAUGUGUCCAAAUCCUGAAACUGCUCGUGGUCAUGUUUAAGUUCAAGAUCAAGCCUCGACGGCCCUUGAAGAAAUCACAAGUCCGAUUCAAGAUCAAGUGUCUACCACUCUUGAGUUAAAUCCUUCGAGAUCAAGCCCCAACGGCUCUUGAAGAAAUCAUAAGCCAGAUUCAAGAUCAAGUGUCCACCACCCUUGAAUCAAAUCUAGUUCAAGAUUAAGUCUGUGGAAAGUCCUUUGGAAGAAACCAGAAAAUCCUCCAACCUAGUUCAAGAUCAAAGCUGUGGAAAGUCAAUAAGCGCAACAAAAUACGUGCCGAUUCAUCCAUUACCAAAGCCAAAGAUCAUCUACCACAUGAAGCUUAUUGUGGUCCAAAUUUCAUCCAAGAUCAAGCCUCAACGGCUCUUGAAGAAAUUUCAAACAAAAUUCAAGAACAAGCCUCAAUGGCACUUAAAGAAACUCCCAGCCCAAUUCAAGAUUAAGCCUCAACGGCCCUUGGAUCGACAUCUACAUUAAGGGACUUCAAAAUGCAUCUUCUACACGUGACAAGCGCAUGUAUACAACGCGCCUUGAAGUGGGGGCAUUUGUAUUGAAAUUUCGGUGAAAUAAAUAUUGACAAUUGUAUUAAAAUUACAACCUCCAUUCAUUUCACCUACAUCAUACACUCACCUCACCUACAAUAUCCACUCAAUUCACCUACAACAAUCCACCCAAUCCACUUACAACAUCCACCAAAACAAAAGGAUGGUGGUAAUUCAUUCUCAAAGCCUAUAAAUAGGCCUCCCCAUCAAAGGAUCAAGGGAGGAUUUUACAUACAUUUUCUCUACUCCCAAAUUGGAAGAGAAUUCACAUCACACCAAAGCCUUGAAGCCUCGAAACUCUAAAGCUCUCAAGCAAAUCCUGAAGAAUCAAGAAAGCCCUCUUCGUUCUUCAUCAAAAUCCUCCUUCAAGAUCAAGCCCCAACGGCCCUUGAAGAAACUUCAACUAAUUCAAGAUCAAAUCCCGACGGCCCUUGAAGAAAGUGUUCAUCAUUCAUCAUCCAUUCAUCCUAAAGAUUAAGCCCCGACGACCCUUUGGAUCAACAACAUCAACAAAUCUACCCAUUACAUAGAUAGAAUCAGAGGAUCAAAUUGUAAAAGAUUGUAACGCACAAAAUCAAUACAAAAUAUUAUUUUGUACACGUGUUCUUGUCUCGUUCAUCAUAGGAAUUCCAGUGUUUACAAUGGUAUAAUGAUGUUUGAGUGAAAAGAAUAAACAUUAGGCUCAUUCAUAUCUCUAUCAGUACAAUUAAUUUGAUUAAAUUGUCCACAACUUUCUUACAAUAAAGCUCUAUAUUUCUGUUUAACCGCACUAAAAAACCUGUUUUUCACUCAAGAAUCUUGUCGAACCAUCUCAGCAGUAAUUUUUCGAAAAAAUCACACACAUUUUAAUCUAACACCAACCAAGGAGUUGUCAAAUCAGGAAAAAUCAAAAAGAGAAAAAACUUACCCAAAAAUAACAGGACCGCCGGAACCGUCGGUAAAUCUGAGACUGACCAAGCAAGGAACCAAACAGCAAAAUAUCCUCUUAGCCAGGAAAACUCUAGCACAGGAACAGAGCCAACCCAAAACCAAACAGUUACAAUUCCAUCCAAAAUUAAUCAAAACACAUAAUAAAAAUCAAAACACAACAAUUAGAAAACAUACCUCAGUUGUAGAAAAUUAACUUCCCAGCGAUGCAAAAACAACCGGUGCUCAAACGGAAAACAAAAUCAGAAAUAGAUCCGACCAAAAUCGGUGCAAAUCAGACAUAAACAAACGUAAAAAAUCUCUUGACUAGUCUUGGAAGCUACGAAAUUGAAGAAUCUAUUCCUCAUAUUGAUUCUACUUGAUAUAUCAUUAGUAGGAUCGUGAAAUCAUGAAAUUAUCCAAAAAUCCUAUAUCGUAGAAAAUUGAAAAUUGCAGGUAAUCAAAAGCUCAAGAAUUUUACAUAGAAGAACUAACUUUCAA